This 77-nucleotide transfer RNA is filed under the name Rothia nasimurium. RNAcentral's name for it is "tRNA-Met". It matches the Rfam family "tRNA". Rfam says of the family: Transfer RNA (tRNA) molecules are approximately 80 nucleotides in length. Their secondary structure includes four short double-helical elements and three loops (D, anti-codon, and T loops). Further hydrogen bonds mediate the characteristic L-shaped molecular structure. tRNAs have two regions of fundamental functional importance: the anti-codon, which is responsible for specific mRNA codon recognition, and the 3' end, to which the tRNAs corresponding amino acid is attached (by aminoacyl-tRNA synthetases). tRNAs cope with the degeneracy of the genetic code in two manners: having more than one tRNA (with a specific anti-codon) for a particular amino acid; and 'wobble' base-pairing, i.e. permitting non-standard base-pairing at the 3rd anti-codon position. Lineage: Bacteria; Bacillati; Actinomycetota; Actinomycetes; Micrococcales; Micrococcaceae. The record is from RNAcentral.
GGGGCCUUAGCUCAGCUGGUCAGAGCAGGGGACUCAUAAUCCCUUGGUCGCGGGUUCAAGCCCCGCAGGCCCUACCC